RNAcentral lists this ribosomal RNA (333 nucleotides) under Triticum aestivum (bread wheat). RNAcentral describes it as "partial small subunit ribosomal RNA". Lineage: Eukaryota; Viridiplantae; Streptophyta; Magnoliopsida; Poales; Poaceae. The record is from RNAcentral.
AUGUUCGGAGUAGGAGGCAAGUGGAUGGCCUCCUCCGUCACGGAGGGACACAUCAAAAAGCUACGUGGAGCCGGAUACUUAGCCGCGGAUAUCACGCACCGGCUGCCAGCUGCGGGGCAGAUCGUCCCUACCCCGGAACCUCACGAAAGGGUGGUUUUCCUCCCCCACUUCGUCCGUGGACUGGGGUUUCCCCUCCAUCCAUUCGUCCGCGGCCUCAUGUUCUAUUAUGGGCUGGACUUUCAUGAUCUGGCCCCGAAUUUCAUCCUCAACAUCUCGGCGUUCAUCGUCGUGUGCGAGGCUUUCCUCCGCAUCCGACCCCACUUCGGCCUAUGA